UGUAAGCGUAUACCAAAGUUGUUGCAGUUAAAACGCUCGUAGUCGGAAUUUGGCAGUUCCGGAUGUGUGCACGUCGUGUGCGCACUUCGCGGGGAUUGCUUUUGUGGUCUUGCGUAGGAUGAGGCACUUUUAUUAGUGAACGUCCUCACGCAACCACUUUUUACUGUGAGAAAAUCAGAGUGCUCAAAGCAGGCAUUUGCCGUGAAUGUAUUAGCAUGGAAUAAUAGAAUAGGACUUGGUUCUAUUUUGUUGGUUUGUUGGGACUGAGUAAUGAUUAAGAGGGACAGUUGGGGGCAUUUGUAUUUCGGUGCUAGAGGUGAAAUUCUUAGAUUACCGAAAGACAAACUGCUGCGAAAGCGUCCGCCAAGGAUGUUUUCAUUGA
RNAcentral lists this ribosomal RNA (382 nucleotides) under uncultured eukaryote. RNAcentral describes it as "partial 18S ribosomal RNA". It matches the Rfam family "Eukaryotic small subunit ribosomal RNA", at positions 592 to 976 of the family's 1831-position model. The record is from RNAcentral.